Thalassophryne amazonica is the source of this 357-nucleotide long non-coding RNA. RefSeq lists it as uncharacterized. The record is from RefSeq and is a predicted model, not a curated record. The transcript has 2 exons. Lineage: Eukaryota; Metazoa; Chordata; Actinopteri; Batrachoidiformes; Batrachoididae.
AUAAAACUAUGCUCUUCUGUACAGAAGUAUCACAAAUAGGUAAAGUUGUAUCACCCUGGCGUAUUCUAUUUCCAGUGAUGUAAAUGUUUGUAGUUCCUAUGGAUUUUCCUAUUUUUGUGCUAUAAAAUUAUUUUACAAACUAAACAUUUGAUUUUCUUUUGUUUGAUAGUAAUAAGAAAAUACUUUUAAAUUCUAACCCAAAUGUAAGGAGAGGAAAGCAGCAAUCAAAACUGAUUCACAGGUGCAGGAUACAGUGGUGUGCAAAGGUUUUAUGCUUAAUUUCCCUAAAACGUUUUAAAAUAAUGAAACUGGGAUAAGUAUGGAUGUAUUUGUAGAUAAUGUGAUCACUUUUCAGCU